Molecule: non-coding RNA, 886 nt
Organism: Paramuricea clavata
Lineage: Eukaryota; Metazoa; Cnidaria; Anthozoa; Malacalcyonacea; Plexauridae
Source: the annotation of a GenBank genome assembly
AGAUGUGGAUGAAUGUUUGCGAGGACUGGACAACUGCGGCGACAAUUCGCUAUGUAUCAACACCAACGGGAGUUUUUCAUGCAGAUGUAUCUAUGGUUAUUCUGGCAAUGGCGUGACGUGCACUGGUGAGUAAUGCAUUAAGAAUUCUUACGCCUUACAGCCAUUUUUAUCAUUUUCAGUUACUUUUCAUCUUGCCCUGGCUAAAUCUAAUCGACUUAUUCUCGCAUUUAUAAGGAUGACAAAAAGUCGAAUUCUAAAAACGGACGGCUAAAGAAAAACACACACAUGGUUUCAACGUAGUAGUUACGCUAAUUAUCUAAGAAAGUUUAAGAAACCAGUAUAAAGUUUGAUCCUGGACACACGGCGCUAUUAUUAAAUACGUCGACCACCAUAUUUUGCCAAUUGCACAAACAAUUGGAAAUAAUUGUCGCGACGUAUUCGCACGUUAUACUAUAUUUAGAAACAUAAAUUAAAAGUUCACUCAUUGACGAAUGUCUGUUUUUUUUCAUCCUUAUGUAGACAUCAAUGAAUGUUCACUGUCGAUUGACACAUGUCAUUCUAAUGCCUAUUGCACUAACACUGAUGGAUCUUUCUUGUGCACUUGUGAGAGUGGAUAUUCUGGAAAUGGAACUGUUUGCCAAGGUAAAUGAACAAUCUGAUUUUUCUAUUCCCUUGAACAAAAUGAUCGCAUAUAUAAAUAAGGAGUAGAAAUUAUUUAUUUGGAAGAAAAGUAAAUUGUCAACUAUUUAUUAUAUAUCUAUAGAUAUCGAUGAAUGUUCUCUAUCCAUUGACAACUGUCACCAAAACUCAAACUGUAUCAACAUUGAUGGUUCUUUUCUGUGUACUUGUGAUAGCGCGUAUGCAGGAAAUUUAAGUCUUUGCCAAG